RNAcentral lists this ribosomal RNA (388 nucleotides) under uncultured bacterium. Its description in RNAcentral is "partial 16S ribosomal RNA". It matches the Rfam family "Bacterial small subunit ribosomal RNA", at positions 354 to 759 of the family's 1533-position model. The record is from RNAcentral.
UGGGGGAAUAUUGGACAAUGGGGGCAACCCUGAUCCAGCAAUGCCGCGUGUGUGAAGAAGGUUUUCGGAUUGUAAAGCACUUUCGGCGGGGACGAUGAUGACGGUACCCGCAGAAGAAGCCCCGGCUAACUUCGCGCCAGCAGCCGCGGUAAUACGAAGGGGGCUAGCGUUGCUCGGAAUGACUGGGCGUAAAGGGCGUGUAGGCGGUUUGUACAGUCAGAUGUGAAAUCCCCGGGCUUAACCUGGGAGCUGCAUUUGAGACGUGCAGACUAGAGUGUGAGAGAGGGUUGUGGAAUUCCCAGUGUAGAGGUGAAAUUCGUAGAUAUUGGGAAGAACACCGGUGGCGAAGGCGGCAACCUGGCUCAUUACUGACGCUGAGGCGCGAAAG